This 193-nucleotide small RNA is filed under the name Tolypocladium ophioglossoides CBS 100239. RNAcentral's name for it is "A. fumigatus sRNA Afu_182". It matches the Rfam family "A. fumigatus sRNA Afu_182". Lineage: Eukaryota; Fungi; Ascomycota; Sordariomycetes; Hypocreales; Ophiocordycipitaceae. The record is from Rfam by way of RNAcentral.
AAUUGAACAACGCAAAAAACAACGUCCAGGUUCCUCCUCACCUUGCCGGCCCGAGGCGCGCCUCCGGGCAGCGCCCACGACUGCCGGCUCCAGAUCGAGGGACACAGGACGAAGAGAAAAGCGCACAAUCUUGGGUGCGGUGCUUCCCGGGCCUUGCGCCUCGUGGGGAGGAUCGCAAUGAUUGAACGUACAU